RNAcentral lists this transfer RNA (72 nucleotides) under Paraprevotella clara. RNAcentral describes it as "tRNA-Thr". It matches the Rfam family "tRNA". From Rfam's summary of the family: Transfer RNA (tRNA) molecules are approximately 80 nucleotides in length. Their secondary structure includes four short double-helical elements and three loops (D, anti-codon, and T loops). The record is from RNAcentral. RNAcentral also lists the same sequence under 3 other names. Lineage: Bacteria; Pseudomonadati; Bacteroidota; Bacteroidia; Bacteroidales; Prevotellaceae.
GCUGUUAUAGCUCAGUGGUAGAGCACUUCCUUGGUAAGGAAGAGGUCCCGAGUUCAAAUCUCGGUAACAGCU